RNAcentral lists this long non-coding RNA (523 nucleotides) under Salmo salar (Atlantic salmon). RNAcentral's name for it is "lncRNA (ENSSSAG00000113837.1)". The record is from RNAcentral. Lineage: Eukaryota; Metazoa; Chordata; Actinopteri; Salmoniformes; Salmonidae.
CUCUAAGCCUGUAUCCUAAAGGUUAAGUCAUCUAGCUAACCCUCUAGACUGCUCUAAGGCUGUAUCCUAAAGGUUAAGUCAUCUAGCUAACCCUCUAGACUGCUUUAAGGCUGUAUCCUAAAGGUUAAGUCAUCUAGCUAAUCCUCUAGACUGCUCUAAGGCUGUAUCCUAAAGGUUAAGUCAUCUAGCUAACCCUCUAAACUGCUCUAAGGCUGUAUCCUAAAGGUUAAGUCACCUAGCUAACCCUCUCUAGACUGCGCUAAGGCUGUAUCCUAAUGGUUAAGUCACCUAGCUAACCCUCUCUAGACUGCGCUAAGGCUGUAUCCUAAUGGUUAAGUCAUCCAGCUAACCCUCUAGACUGCUCUAAGGCUGUAUCCUAAUGGUUAAGUCAUCUAGCUAACCCUCUAGACUGCUCUAAGGCUGUAUCCUAAAGGUUAAGUCAUCUAGCUAACCCUCUAGACUGCUCUAAGGCUUCGUCCCAAAGGUUAAGUCAUCUCGCUAACCCUCUCUAGACUGCUCUAAG